GUUUCUUGGCCAUUUUUCCGCUGGGGGGUCUUGGGACCCCGACCUUCGGGGGCUGAUUUUUGGGCGCGGCUGUGCCCGUGGCCUAUUUUUGGCACACGGAGGCCGCCCGCCAAGUCUGGGGCCAUUCCGAGUCCGGCGGACGAACUUCGCCCACGCCCCCCACCAAGGCUAUAGCCCACCCGUUUUUUGGCCAUUUUUCCGCUGGGGGGUCUUGGGACCCCGACCUUCGGGGGCUGAUUUUUGGGCGCGGCUGUGCCCGUGGCCUAUUUUUGGCACACGGAGGCCGCCCGCCAAGUCUGGGGCCAUUCCGAGUCCGGCGGACGAACUUCGCCCACGCCCCCCACCAAGGCUAUAGCCCACCCGUUUUUUGGCCAUUUUUCCGCUGGGGGGUCUUGGGACCCCGACCUUCGGGGGCUGAUUUUUGGGCGCGGCUGUGCCCGUGGCCUAUUUUUGGCACACGGAGGCCGCCCGCCAAGUCUGGGGCCAUUCCGAGUC
This 495-nucleotide long non-coding RNA is filed under the name Citrus x clementina. RNAcentral's name for it is "Citrus clementina (C. clementina) long non-coding RNA (CCLE_LNC005098)". Lineage: Eukaryota; Viridiplantae; Streptophyta; Magnoliopsida; Sapindales; Rutaceae. The record is from RNAcentral.